UCCAGCAUUCUCUCCCUCUCCUUCUUCUUCUUCUUCUUCUUCUCCCUUCUUGUCACCCUCUCCCAUGCCGCCACCUUCGAGAUCGUGAACCGAUGCUCUUACACAGUGUGGGCCGCGGCCGUGCCUGGCGGCGGACGCCAGCUCAACCAGGGGCAGUCGUGGACCAUCAACGUGAACGCGGGAACCACCGGCGGCCGCAUCUGGGGCCGCACCGGCUGCUCCUUCGACGGGAGCGGACGCGGGCGGUGCCAGACGGGCGACUGCGGCGGCGUGCUGUCAUGCACGGCGUACGGCAGCCCGCCCAACACCCUGGCGGAGUUCGCGCUCAACCAGUUCAACAACCUCGACUUCUUCGACAUCUCCCUGGUCGACGGCUUCAACGUGCCAAUGGACUUCAGCCCCACGUCAGGCGGCUGCCGCGGCAUCCGGUGCGCGGCGGACAUCAACGGGCAGUGCCCCGGGGCGCUGAAGGCGCCGGGCGGCUGCAACAACCCCUGCACCGUGUUCAAGACGGACCAGUACUGUUGCAACUCCGGCAGCUGCAGCCCGACCGACUACUCCCGGUUCUUCAAGAGAAACUGCCCCGACGCCUACAGCUAUCCCAAGGACGAUCAGACGAGCACCUUCACCUGCCCCGGCGGCACCAACUACAGGGUUGUCUUCUGCCCUUGAGAUCACUGACGCCACUAAUAAGCCGCCCUCGUGCAGGCAACCACGCAUAUAGAUAUAUAUACUAGUCUCCUACAAUACAAAUAAGAUGUCAAGAGUGAUGGAAGGUAUUAGCCUUCUCUUGGGCUAAUACUGUUGACUGAUGUAAUAGAAGUGGUGCAACCAACUAAUAAGAUGCAUAAUAUCAUCACAGCAUGAGUGCUUUUCCAUUGAUGUUUGAAUCAUUUUGUGAGAGCAAUCAGCUUAUGCAAUCAGCAAAAAGAAUAAUUAAACCAUUUCUAUUUAUGUCUUGUUGGCUUAAAACAUGAAUUGAUUUUGAAACAUAAUGAACCCUACAUAUAUAACUUCAUAAAAGAUAUCUCAAGGACCAUACAUUAUACAUACAUAUAUACAUAUAUAUACAUAUAUAUACACAUAUAUAUAUACAUAUAUAUACACAUAUAUAUACAUAUAUAUAUAUAUACAUAUACAUAUAUAUAUAUAUAUNNNNNNNNNNNNNNNNNNNNUAUGUAUAUAUAUAUAUGUAUAUAUAUAUAUAUCAUUUAGGAUGAUGAGUCAUCGCCUAUCCAAUUUGGACCUCUGCCAUUCUCCGUAGAAACUUUGCGUAGCCAUUUUCCAAUACAAUUGCGCGUUGACCAGAGUGCGUCCAUGUGAUCCUCCCCGGUAAGUUUGGUGCCCGAAAUUAUCCGGCAAGUAUGGCUUUAAAUAUUGGAAUUAGUUGCUCUUUGUUUUACGUAGGCCGAUCAAGAUGAACAGAGAGAAUGAUGCUGACUAAUUGAGCCCUGACCAAUCGAGGGCUUCAGGACUCGAGCCCCGACGCGCCCUCGGGAAGCUGCCGCGGGAGGCGGACAUCGAUGGGCAGUGCCCGCAGGUGUUGAGGGCGCCGCGGCGGGUGCACCGCUCGACCGUGUCCAAGGCGGACCGGUACUGCUGCAGCUCCUGCAACUGUGCGUCAAGCGGCUACUUCAGCUUCUUGAGGAGGAACUGCACCGAUGGCUAUAUCUUCCCACAACCUUACGGCCUGGCUUCCACCACUAGUUUCUACGGUAGUCUUCCUCCUCCAAGAGUCGAAUUCAGCUUCCUACAAGAUUAUAAUGAUGGUUUGUAUCAAUUAGUUGUUAAAUUGUAUUUUGGAACCUAAUACAUAUUUUAAAUAUAAAUUCAUAUUUAAAGUUUCUUUAACAUCACAUUUGUCAUGAAUAUAGUGUCAGUAAAUGCUUAAAUUCUGAAACUAUCUUAGAAUAAUUAUAACAUCUCGAGUAAUCUCACAUAAAAAAUGAAUAAGAUUAAAAUUAACUUAUGAUAGUAUAUUACUAUCAAUAUUAAUUUGAAUAUUUUGAUUGCUUGGAUUCAAGAAAAUUGAUAAGUCAAUUAGUUAAUCAAUUGUGACAUUCGAUAUCAAAUUAGUAUUAGGAUAUAGUAUAAUCAAAUUACUAUUAGCGUAUCGUGAGUGAGCUUCGUACUCGUUCAUUGUGAAGUCAUCUUGGGCUAUGUCUUACAUGCCGCGCUAUAUUGAGUCUUUGACAAUGAUUAAUUUUUUUUUUAUAGUUCACACAUAAAAAUAGAUUUUGAACUAUUUAAUUUUAAAAAUCAUAUUAUUUAUUAUAAAAUAUAUUUAUUAAAAUUUAAUUAACUAAUAAAAUUAUUAACUUAUUCACAUAAUUAAGAAAAUCAAUUUUAAUCAUUUUCUUAGCCAUACUAUACAAACAAAAUCACAAUGUAUAUAUUUUUCUUAAAUUUUUAUCUUAAAUGCAUGUUGCUAAUUAUAAUACUUGAUUUAUAUUUAGAUUUAUAUGAUAGUUGAUUAAAAAUAUUAUUUCUUCUCUUAUGUAAUUUUAUCUUUUUAAUAAUCUAUUGUUUAUUAUAUUUUAAUGACUCAAUGCUUGGGAUUAGAUGUUUUUUACUAUAAUUUCAUAAUGCUAUAAUUUAGAAUUGAAGAAAUUGAUUAGGAUUUGGGUUAUAUCUCACACGUACAAUCUUAGAGUUUGAGUUGGGUUUUAAUAAGGAUCAUUUAUUUUUUAUAUAAUAUUUAUUUCCUAUGAUUCACACAUAAAAAUAAAAUUUAAAUUAUUUACUUUCUAAAAAUUGCAUCACUCGUUGAGAAACGAAUCAAUUAAUAAUUUAAUUAAUUUAGUAAUCAUAUUACAUAAAUAAAAUCAUAAUGUGUAGUAUUUUAAAAUUUUUUAUCUUACAUGCAUGAUGCACGAUGAUAAUUAUAAUCCUUGGUUUCUAUUAUAUUUAUAUAGUAAUUUAUUAAAAAUAUUAUUUUCUCACUAAUGUAAUUUUAUUUUAAAAUUUAUUACUAUUUAUUAUGUUUUUAAUGACUCAAUACUAAUGAUCAGAUAUUCUAAUUAGUAGUCAUAUUAGUAAUCAUUAAGAAAUUUAAUUUAAAUUAUUUCAGUAAUAAUAUUACAUAAAUAAAAUCAUAAUGUGUAGUAUUUUUAAAAUUGUUAUCUUACAUGCAUGAUGCAUGAUGAUAAUUAUAAUACUUGGUUUCUAUUAGAUUUAUAUAAUAAUUUAUUAAAAUAUUAUUUUCUCACUUAUGUAAUUUUAGUUUUAAAAUUUAUUACUAUUUAUUAUGUUUUUAGUGACUCAAUACUAAUGAUCAGAUAUUCUAAUUAUAUUUUUUAUAUUUUAAAAUUAAGAGAAUUGAUUAAGAUUUAAGUUGAAAUCAACAAACAAUUAGAGCUAACCCAUAGGCUAGCCACAACUCGUAGAUUAAGCUCAGCAAGCAAGUCAACCCAUAGCCUAUAGGACUCCAAUAUGAUCAGUUAUGUAAUGUACAGACCAAGUCAGAUUUCAUAAACUUAGAUAGAUUCAAGGUAAUUCUAAACUUAUUUAGUCUAUUCAUGUCUAUCUAAUCUAAAUCGAACUCAAUCUAGUCCAAAGUAUACAAGUCUAAGAUGAUUCUAGACUGAUUAAAUGAGAAUUAAAAAUCGAUUUUAUUAUACUAGAGUUAAAUCGAGUUCAAUUGAUUUUAAUUAAACUCGUUUAGAUCGAUUAAGUUCUAGUUAAAUCAGGUUCAAUUAGACCGAUUGAGUUAAGUUAGAUAAAACCUAGGGAUAUGAGUUAUAAAUAAUAUUCAUCAAAUUUCUUCAAUCUAAUUUAUGCUAAAAUAGUUCAAUAAUAAAAAAUAAUAACUGCAAUAAUUAUUGAAUGUUAAUCAGUAUAAUGAAAAAUUCAUAUAAUAACUAUAAUUAUGAUAAGUCAUGAAUUAUAUUUUUAUAUAAUUUUCAAACAUAUUAUAUAAAUAAUCAAAUAAAUAUCCAAGAAAAAUAAUUAGAUUUUUAUUUAUCACAUGCAAAAUUUUAUCAAUAUGACAAAUAAGAAAAUUAUUAAAGAAAAAUCAUAAUUUAUAUUUUUAAAAUUUUGUAUGAACCCUUAUACCAAUCAACCCUAUUUAAUUAGGUAAGCCCAUAAUUGGACUACCUAAAUUGGGCUAACAAUUUGCCUAAUUAGACCCAUUAAGAUUAAAGUUGAUCAAAAUAAAAAAAAGAUCAAAAAUAACUUUUUUUUAAUUUGAUCAAAAACUUAAUUGGUCGAAUUUAAAUCCAACCAAAUAGUUAAAAUAUAGUAAUGAUUAAGCUCGUUUAAAAGAUUUGAUUAAAAUAAAUCAAAUUAAUAAAUUUUAUAAUUGAGGGCAUAUCUCAAAAUAUUUUAAUUCAAAAGGGUAAAACUAUAAUUUUACUGGGAUAUGUAGAGAAAAUAUCUAAUUUCUGAAGAAUAUAAUUAUCAAAAGGACACAAGUUGAAAUUAAAAGACUUUAUAAGAAUAAAUUUAUAAUUUUAAAAAUAAAUCCUAAUCUUUCACCCAGAAAGGCUCUCUCGCAUUUGUCAUUGGUUCCACCAUGCCCACACGCAAAAGUCAACACCGCAGUGUUCGCCCACCACCUGCAUGGACAACGAGGCAGUUGUCCUUAUGCAUUCAAACGAUAACCUCAUCGGUCGUCGCGUUGUGCCAUGCUCAUGAGUGGCUAUUAUCAUCGUGCGCUUGACUAUAACACUUCAAAAACAAUAUGUAUGUCACUGACCGGAAGCUAUCGCGUAGUUACGCACACAUGCCGAUCGAUAACCCCCAGAAUCACUUUGAUGUGUGACUGUGCUCGCUUGUCUUGCUACAUAGUCGUUGGGAACAAUGGCUUUCAGUGUCCAAUCGAUGUUGACCAUGGCCAACAAGCACUACCACAGUGGUAUUACUGUAACCAUUGUACGUAGUGAAGCUAUAUAGCCACUAUAGGUGCAUGCGCACAUAGUGGCACUGUUACAAUCAUCGCACUUAGUAUUAUACCCCAUGGUGCUUCCAUUAGGUACGCAAUUGCUACUCGCGAUUGAACUAAUGACAAUCAAAAGUUGUCGCUCUUAACCAUAUUGUUAUCGACAAUAAGCUAGUCACAGUGAUCCAUUGAUCAAGUACGAGAAAAUUCAUAUCUCCCACAAAUAGGUGAUAAGAUCGAUUAAAUAGAAAAAUAGAUCAAUAAUAUAUAUGAAUCAUUCAUACAUCGUAAAUAAAAAAUUGAAUAACACUUUUUCAUAAGCCAAAGAUGCUAACAAAUAUAUCUAAAAUAAUUUAUUUUACAAACAUGACUCUGAUAUCAAUUGUAAGUAUAAAAACCAUCCUUAUGCUAUUGUUAUGCAGAAAACUUUAACACCAAAAUCUAAAAUCAAAUAAUAAUAGAUAAGAUUCAUGAUACGUACAUUUUGAUGCUAGUUAAAAAAGCUCUUAUAUGAUCUAUAGGUACACCAUCGUUGGAUCUGAAAGUUAUAGUAAUAUCGAUCUAUAAGAAGAAUUAGACUCAUCGUUUUCUCAUUUUCUAUCCUUUAUAGGACCACUACAAUGGAUUUAGAGACUAAGGGGAGAUGAGAGAAGAUUUAUAAUUUCUCACUGACUUAUUCACAAAAAUUUAUAAUUUUUUAAUAAUAUUUUGUAAACACGUAUCGUUUUUAUCUUCUUAUAGUAUUUCUAGGUGAGAAUAGAAAAUCUAUGAUAAGUAAUGAAUAGGGUCUUUCUAAUCAAAAUCUAUCUCUUAACGAAUUUUAUGAUAAUUUAAUUUUUUAUCAAUCUAUAAUCAUAAUUAAAAUUUAAUCAUAUCUAUAAUAUAUCUUAAAUAAAUAAUUAGUGAUAUAUAAUCUGACACCUCUCUCUUCUCUCCCUUAUAAAUUCCCCACCUCUCCACCCCUCGGAUCUGCACAACACAGAGCACGAAGCCUAAGACUCGCCGUUAGAUGGCUUCGUCAAGCAUUCUCUCCCUCUCCUUCUUCUCCCUUCUUGUCACCCUCUCCCAUGCCGCCAACUUCGAGAUCGUGAACCGAUGCUCUUACACAGUGUGGGCCGCGGCCGUGCCCGGCGGCGGACGCCAGCUCAACCAGGGGCAGUCGUGGACCAUCAACGUGAAAGCGGGAACGACCGGCGGCCGCAUCUGGGGCCGCACAGGCUGCUCCUUCGACGGGAGCGGCCACGGGCGGUGCCAGACGGGCGACUGCGGCGGGUUGCUGGCGUGCACGGCGUACGGUAGCCCGCCCAACACCCUGGCGGAGUUCGCGCUCAACCAGUACAGCAACCAAGACUACGUGGACAUCUCCCUGGUCGACGGCUUCAACGUGCCUAUGGACUUCAGCCCCACGUCGGGCGGCUGCCGCGGCAUGCGGUGCACGGCGGACAUCAACAAGAAGUGCCCCACGGCACUGAAGGCGCCGGGCGGCUGCAACAACCCCUGCACCGUGUUCAAGACGGACCAGUACUGCUGCAACUCCGGCAGCUGCCAGCCGACCGAGUACUCCAAGUUCUUCAAGAGCAACUGCCCCGACGCCUACAGCUAUCCGAAGGACGAUCCGACGAGCCUCGUCGCCUGCCCCGGCGGCACCAACUACAGGGUUGUCUUCUGCCCUUGAGAUCACCGACGCCACUAAUAAGCCUCCCUCGUGUAGGCAACCACGCAGAUAUAUAUAUAUAUAUAUAUNNNNNNNNNNNNNNNNNNNNCCCGACGCCUACAGCUAUACCGAAGGACGAUCCGACGAGCCUCGUCGCCUGCCCCGGCGGCACCAACUACAGGGUUGUCUUCUGCCCUUGAGAUCACCGACGCCACUAAUAAGCCUCCCUCGUGUAGGCAACCACGCAGAUAUAUAUAUAUAUAUAUAUAGCAGUCUCCUACAAC
This 6820-nucleotide long non-coding RNA is filed under the name Musa acuminata (dwarf banana). Its description in RNAcentral is "long non-coding RNA (MACU_LNC003597)". The record is from RNAcentral. Lineage: Eukaryota; Viridiplantae; Streptophyta; Magnoliopsida; Zingiberales; Musaceae.